UUUCCGUAGGUGAACCGGCGGAAGGAUCAUUACUGAGUGAGGGCCCCUCGGGGUCCAACCUCCCACCCGUGUUUAACGAACCUUGUUGCUUCGGCGGGCCCGCCUCACGGCCGCCGGGGGGCAUUUGCCCCCGGGCCCGCGCCCGCCGAAGCCACCUGUGAACGCUGUCUGAAGUAUGCAGUCUGAGACAAUUAUUAAAUUAAUUAAAACUUUCAACAACGGAUCUCUUGGUUCCG
RNAcentral lists this unclassified non-coding RNA (236 nucleotides) under plant metagenome. Its description in RNAcentral is "partial contains small subunit ribosomal RNA, internal transcribed spacer 1, and 5.8S ribosomal RNA". The record is from RNAcentral.